Molecule: ribosomal RNA, 389 nt
Filed under: gamma proteobacterium SCGC AAA031-K20
Lineage: Bacteria; Pseudomonadati; Pseudomonadota; Gammaproteobacteria
Description: partial 16S small subunit ribosomal RNA
Rfam family: Bacterial small subunit ribosomal RNA
Source: RNAcentral
UUUGGACAAUGGGCGAAAGCCUGAUCCAGCCAUGCCGCGUGUGUGAAGAAGGCCUUCGGGUUGUAAAGCACUUUNAGUUGGGAGGAAGGGNAGUAAAUUAAUACUUUGNUGUUUUGACGUUACCGACAGAAUAAGCACCGGCUAACUCCGUGCCAGCAGCCGCGGUAAUACGGAGGGUGCAAGCGUUAAUCGGAAUUACUGGGCGUAAAGCGCGCGCAGGUGGUUNGUUAAGUCNGAUGUGAAAUCCCCGGGCUCAACCUGGGAACUGCAUUNGAAACUGNCNAGCUAGAGUAUGGUAGAGGGGGGUGGAAUUCCCNGUGUAGCGGUGAAAUGCGUAGAUAUCGGNAGGAACACCGGUGGCGAAGGCGACCCCCUGGACUAAUACUGAC